UACGAAGGGGGCUAGCGUUGCUCGGAAUGACUGGGCGUAAAGCGCGCGCAGGCGGUCUUCCAAGUCAGUGGUGAAAGCCCGGAGCUCAACUCCGGAACUGCCAUUGAAACUGUUGGACUUGAGUACGAGAGAGGUGAGUGGAAUUCCCAGUGUAGAGGUGAAAUUCGUAGAUAUUGGGAAGAACACCGGUGGCGAAGGCGGCUCACUGGCUCGUAACUGACGCUCAGGCGCGACAGCGUGGGGAUCAAACAGG
RNAcentral lists this ribosomal RNA (253 nucleotides) under uncultured bacterium. Its description in RNAcentral is "partial 16S ribosomal RNA". It matches the Rfam family "Bacterial small subunit ribosomal RNA", at positions 524 to 776 of the family's 1533-position model. The record is from RNAcentral.